RNAcentral lists this small RNA (127 nucleotides) under Marmota monax (woodchuck). Lineage: Eukaryota; Metazoa; Chordata; Mammalia; Rodentia; Sciuridae. The record is from RNAcentral.
GCUGGGUGUGGUGGCGCACACCUGUAAUCCCAGUGACUCAGGAGGCUGAGGCAGGAGGAUUGCAAGUCCAAAGCCAGCCUCAGCAAUUUAGCAAGGCCCUAAGCAACUCAGCGAGAUCCCAUCUCUA